CAUAGGUAUCUGCCUAGUAGUGGGGGGACAACCUGGUGAAAACCAGGCUAAUACCGCAUAAGAUCUACGGAUGAAAGGAGGCCUCUUCUUGAAAGCUUUCGCUAUUAGAUGAGCCUAUGUCAGAUUAGCUAGUUGGUAGGGUAAUGGCCUACCAAGGCGACGAUCUGUAGCUGGUCUGAGAGGAUGAUCAGCCACACUGGGACUGAGACACGGCCCAG
This 218-nucleotide ribosomal RNA is filed under the name uncultured bacterium. RNAcentral describes it as "partial 16S ribosomal RNA". It matches the Rfam family "Bacterial small subunit ribosomal RNA", at positions 116 to 334 of the family's 1533-position model. The record is from RNAcentral.